This 374-nucleotide ribosomal RNA is filed under the name uncultured eukaryote. RNAcentral describes it as "partial 18S ribosomal RNA". It matches the Rfam family "Eukaryotic small subunit ribosomal RNA", at positions 592 to 976 of the family's 1831-position model. The record is from RNAcentral.
CAAUAGCGUAUAUUAAAGUUGUUGCAGUUAAAAAGCUCGUAGUUGGAUUUCAGAUGACUGGAAGCGGAGCUCGCAAGAGUGAAGCGGAAGGGAGUCAACUUCUCAGAGCCGGCAUGUGCGCUUAAUUGCGUGUGUGUUUGGACCUGGGACCUUUACUUUGAAAAAAUUAGAGUGUUCAAAGCAGGCCUUCGCUUGAAUACAUUAGCAUGGAAUAAUAGAAUAGGACUUUGGUUCUGUUUUGUUGGUUUCUAGGACCGAAGUAAUGAUUAAUAGGGAUAGUUGGGGGCAUUAGUAUUUAAUUGUCAGAGGUGAAAUUCUUGGAUUUAUGAAAGACUAACAUCUGCGAAAGCAUUUGCCAAGGAUGUUUUCAUUAA